RNAcentral lists this transfer RNA (72 nucleotides) under Lachnellula subtilissima. It matches the Rfam family "tRNA". Rfam says of the family: Transfer RNA (tRNA) molecules are approximately 80 nucleotides in length. Their secondary structure includes four short double-helical elements and three loops (D, anti-codon, and T loops). Further hydrogen bonds mediate the characteristic L-shaped molecular structure. tRNAs have two regions of fundamental functional importance: the anti-codon, which is responsible for specific mRNA codon recognition, and the 3' end, to which the tRNAs corresponding amino acid is attached (by aminoacyl-tRNA synthetases). tRNAs cope with the degeneracy of the genetic code in two manners: having more than one tRNA (with a specific anti-codon) for a particular amino acid; and 'wobble' base-pairing, i.e. permitting non-standard base-pairing at the 3rd anti-codon position. Lineage: Eukaryota; Fungi; Ascomycota; Leotiomycetes; Helotiales; Lachnaceae. The record is from Rfam by way of RNAcentral.
UCAUAGAUGGCGCAAUGGUAGCGCGCGAGACUUCUAAUCUCGAGGCUGUGGGUUCGAGUCCCACUUGGAGUG